This is a non-coding RNA of Canis lupus familiaris (dog), 1276 nucleotides long. Lineage: Eukaryota; Metazoa; Chordata; Mammalia; Carnivora; Canidae. The record is from the annotation of a RefSeq genome assembly.
UACACAUCUCUCUGAGGAAGUGACUAACACCCAACCACCUCGAUAACAGACAGAACUUCUCAUGGGCAGACAGUGGCUGAUCAGGGGCAGCCAGGGAGCACCCACACACCGCACAGCCACCUCCACGAAGCCAUGCUGUGGACCUGUCCCCUCUUCUACCUCACCCUCUUCUGUGCAGGGGUCUCACUGGAUAUCAUUUUGGAACCAGAAACCAAAACCCUGACUGUUCUAGUUGGAGAGCCUGCCACCUUCCGCUGCAACGUAACAGGAGGGGACUUGAAGAACUAUCAGGUGAGCUGGUAUAGGAAGAAUGAAGAUAACUCCCUGACUUUAAUAUACAGACAGAGCAACAAUACCAAUGACAAUUUAAGGAGUAAUUUCAAAGGAAAUACCGAUGCUUCAAAGAGUCAAUGUAUACUCGACAUUGAAAAAGCAACAACAGCAAACGCCGGUACCUAUUACUGCGCAGCAGAUAUCCACAGUACUCCAGGCCUGCUUCUGGUCGCCUCAGAACCUCUGGGUCUAGCUGAGCUGGCAGAGCCAAUGAGAGACCAUCUGUGGUUAAAAUGUGUGCCAUACCCGCGCUGAGACCACCUGAUCACCUCACAGCAACAUCUGAUAAGAGAGGUGAUUCUGAUGCAAGUGGGUUCAAGGACAUACUUUGAGAAAUUCUGCUGUAAGCAGCAAAACUCUUAGUUUAAUACAAGGAAGAUGUAGCCAGCUUCUCCUGCCCUCGCUACAGAGAAAUGGACAUUAGAUGUGGUCAAGGUAUCUCUUGAACAAUGGCUCUCAAUUCCAAUUGCAUAUUUUAAACACCUGCGGAAAUUCUUUAAAAAUACCAAUGUCUGGAACACAUCCCCAGAGAUGCUGAUUGAACUGGUGUGGGCAUGGAGCUCUGGUUUCCCACGUAAUCCAACCUCUCUCCCCUACUCUUUCCUCUUCCCUUUUCCAGUCUAAGAUCUUGCUGUUUCAAGUGUGGUCUCUAGAUAGCAUCAGCAUCACUUGGAAUUUUGUCAGAAUGCAGAAUCUCAUGCACCACCCUUGAUCUAGUGAAUCAGAAUCCGCAUUUUAAUAAGAAUUCCUUGGUGAGUUAUAUGCAUAUUAAAGUUUGAGAGGCACAAGUCUAGGGAAGCCAUCACUAUUGAAAAAUUUCAUUGAAGUGGAGAAGUAUAAAUCUGUUUUUCCCAAAUGCCACCCAAAAAAAUCCAUAUUUGUAAAAAGCUCCUAAAGGGAUGCUGCUGUGCAGCCAGGUGUGGGACUCAGGACAAGCAGUCAG